Molecule: ribosomal RNA, 279 nt
Filed under: uncultured bacterium
Lineage: Bacteria
Description: partial 16S ribosomal RNA
Rfam family: Bacterial small subunit ribosomal RNA
Source: RNAcentral
UGCCAGCCGCCGCGGUAAUACGGAGGGGGCUAGCGUUACUCGGAAUUACUGGGCGUAAAGCGAGCGUAGGCGGUUAAUCAAGUUGGGGGUGAAAGCCCGGGGCUCAACCCCGGAAAUGCCCUCAAAACUAGUUAACUAGAGGACGGGAGAGGGGAGUGGAACUCCCAGUGUAGAGGUGAAAUUCGUAGAUAUUGGGAAGAACACCAGUGGCGAAGGCGACUCUCUGGACCGUUUCUGGCGCUGAGGUGCGAAAGUGUGGGGAGCAAACAGGAUUAGAUA